UUUUAUAGGAAAUUAUGUUUCCAUGUCUAUGUGAAGGUGAUUUUAAAUAGUUAGCGACAGUGUUUCUCUAAAUAUUUCUUCAUUGAAGAUUGUUUCACUGAGGGUUGCUUUACUGAAAAUUGCUUCAUUGAAGCUCUUGUUAAAGAAAUCUCCUUGAUUUAACACCUCUCUUUUCUGAAAAGCUCUGUCAUAAAAGAACUCUUUAGUAAAAUCUUCAUUAAGCUAAAAAAGUGAAAAUAGCUCAUUAGGGUAUUUCUCUAUUUGGUUAUCCCCAAGAGCUUGGCUUUGUGGAUAAGAUAUGAUGAUAGUUAAGAGAUCUCCUAACAUUUCUAUGAAGUGCUUCUCCUUUUCUUAAUAUUUCUUCAUUGAAGAUUGUUUCACUGAGGGUUGCUUUACUGAAAAUUGCUUCAUUGAAGCUCUUGUUGAAGAAAUCUCCUUGAUUUAACACCUCUCUUUUCUGAAAAGCUCUGUCAUAAAAGAACUCUUUAGUAAAAUCUUCAUUAAGCUAAAAAAGUGAAAAUAGCUCAUUAGGG
Molecule: long non-coding RNA, 533 nt
Filed under: Gossypium barbadense (sea-island cotton)
Lineage: Eukaryota; Viridiplantae; Streptophyta; Magnoliopsida; Malvales; Malvaceae
Description: long non-coding RNA (GBAR_LNC022105)
Source: RNAcentral